This 253-nucleotide ribosomal RNA is filed under the name uncultured bacterium. RNAcentral's name for it is "partial 16S ribosomal RNA". It matches the Rfam family "Bacterial small subunit ribosomal RNA", at positions 524 to 776 of the family's 1533-position model. The record is from RNAcentral.
UACGUAGGGACCAAGCGUUGUUCGGAUUUACUGGGCGUAAAGGGCGCGUAGGCGGACAGUUAAGUUGGGGGUGAAAGCCCGGGGCUCAACCUCGGAAUUGCCUUCAAUACUGGCUGUCUUGAGUGUGAGAGAGGUGUGUGGAACUCCGAGUGUAGAGGUGAAAUGCGUAGAGAUCAGGAGGAACACCCGUGGCGAAGGCGGCCCGCUGGGUCGACCCUGACGCUGAGGCGCGAAAGCGUGGGGAGCGAACGGG